This is a long non-coding RNA of Planococcus citri (citrus mealybug), 394 nucleotides long. RefSeq lists it as uncharacterized. NCBI's taxonomy places the organism in Eukaryota, Metazoa, Arthropoda, Insecta, Hemiptera, Pseudococcidae. The transcript has 3 exons. The record is from RefSeq and is a predicted model, not a curated record.
GUCAUUCUGUGAACAAGUUGGUUUCAAAUUCGUAUGAAAAAUAAUCAACUAAAAAUGAAGUUAUAUAUUUUUUUGGUGUUUUUAUUUUUUAACGUGUACCAUGCCAGGCAUAUUCCUGCGCCUCAAAAUAUGUUCAAAAUACCGCUGACAAGAACAACGCGAACUUCGGACGAACUUAGUACCAUUGUGACGAAUUUCAAAACAUUCAAUAAGAAAAUGAUGAACAGUGAAACGAACAUUUCUCUUGAACAAAACGAAGGUCUGAGGUAUUACGGUCCUCUUUCAAUUGGAACACCCCCUCAGAACUUCAAUGUAAUUUUUGAUACAGGAUCUUCUGCGCUGUGGGUCGUCUCUGAUGACUGCCAAUAUAGUUGUAAUAAAAGUAAUAGUCCGG